Molecule: small nuclear RNA, 107 nt
Filed under: Sorex araneus (European shrew)
Lineage: Eukaryota; Metazoa; Chordata; Mammalia; Eulipotyphla; Soricidae
Source: RNAcentral
GUGCUUGCUUCGGCAGCACAUAUACUAAAAUUGGAACGAUACAGAGAAGAUAAGCAUGGCCUCUGCGCAAGGAUGACACGCAAAUUCAUGAAGCAUUCCAUAUUUUU